Molecule: ribosomal RNA, 496 nt
Filed under: uncultured dinoflagellate
Lineage: Eukaryota; Dinophyceae
Description: SSU rRNA
Rfam family: Eukaryotic small subunit ribosomal RNA
Source: RNAcentral
CUGACACAGGGAGGUAGUGACAAGAAAUAACAAUACAGGGCAUCCAUGUCUUGUAAUUGGAAUGAGUAGAAUUUAAAUCCCCUUAUGAGUAUCGAUUGGAGGGCAAGUCUGGUGCCAGCAGCCGCGGUAAUUCCAGCUCCAAUAGCGUAUAUUAAAAUUGUUGCGGUUAAAAAGCUCGUAGUUGGAUUUCUGCUGAGGACGAUCGGUCCGCCCUCUGGGUGAGUAUCUGGUUCGGCCUUGGCAUCUUCUUGGAGAACGUUACUGCACUUGACUGUGUGGUGCGGUAUCCAGGACAUUUACUUUGAGGAAAUUAGAAUGUUUCAAGCAGGCGCACGCCUUGAAUACAUUAGCAUGGAAUAAUAAGAUAGGACCUUGCUUCUAUUUUGUUGGUUUCUAGAGCUGAGGUAAUGAUUAAUAGGGAUAGUUGGGGGCAUUCGUAUUUAACUGUCAAAGGUGAAAUUCUUGGAUUUGUUAAAGACGGACUACUGCGAAAGCA